Molecule: ribosomal RNA, 703 nt
Filed under: uncultured bacterium
Lineage: Bacteria
Description: bacterial SSU rRNA
Rfam family: Bacterial small subunit ribosomal RNA
Source: RNAcentral
UCGAACGAGAAAGUGGAGCAAUCCAUGAGUACAGUGGCGUACGGGUGAGUAACACGUGGGUAAUCUACCUUUUAGUGUGGAAUAACUUUGGGAAACCGAAGCUAAUACCGCAUAAGCUCGAGAGAGGAAAGCAGCAAUGCGCUGAAAGAGGAGCCCGCGGCCGAUUAGCUAGUUGGCAGGGUAAGAGCCUACCAAGGCAAAGAUCGGUAGCCGGCCUGAGAGGGCACACGGCCACACUGGCAUUGAAACACGGGCCAGACUCCUACGGGAGGCAGCAGUGGGGAAUCCUGCACAAUGGGGGAAACCCUGAUGCAGCGACGCCGCGUGAGCGAUGAAGCCCUUCGGGGUGUAAAGCUCUUUCGGCAGGGAAGAUAAUGACGGUACCUGCAGAAGCAGCUGCGGCUAACUACGUGCCAGCAGCCGCGGUAAUACGUAGGCAGCAAGCGUUGUUCGGAGUUACUGGGCGUAAAGGGUGUGUAGGCGGUUGUUUAAGUUUGGUGUGAAAUCUCUCGGCUUAACCGGGAGGGUGCGCCGAAUACUGAAUGACUAGAGUGCGGGAGAGGAAAGUGGAAUUCCUGGUGUAGCGGUGAAAUGCGUAGAUAUCAGGAGGAACACCGGUGGUGUAGACGGCUUUCUGGACCGUAACUGACGCUGAGACACGAAAGCGUGGGUAGCAAACAGGAUUAGAUACCCUGGUAGUCCA